Molecule: non-coding RNA, 118 nt
Organism: Ricinus communis (castor bean)
Lineage: Eukaryota; Viridiplantae; Streptophyta; Magnoliopsida; Malpighiales; Euphorbiaceae
Source: Rfam
GCCUAUGAUGAAUUAAUCCGAAUUAUUAUAGGUGUAGUGGAGCCAAGCCCCUGCUUGUCAGGGAGAACCUACUUGGCAGAAGCUACAUUACAAUGACAUCAAUGGAUUUUACUGAGGC